This 514-nucleotide ribosomal RNA is filed under the name uncultured bacterium. Its description in RNAcentral is "bacterial SSU rRNA". It matches the Rfam family "Bacterial small subunit ribosomal RNA", at positions 8 to 513 of the family's 1533-position model. The record is from RNAcentral.
AGAGUUUGAUCCUGGCUCAGAGCGAACGUUAGCGGCAGGCUUAACACAUGCAAGUCGAGCGAGAAAGGGGCUUCGGCUCCGAGUAAAGCGGCGGACGGGUGAGGAAUACAUGGGUAAUCUACCAUCGAGUGGGGAAUAACCAGCCGAAAGGUUGGCUAAUACCGCGUACGCCUCCGAAUCUUCGGGUUCGGAGGGAAAGCCACACUGUGAGUGCGGCGCUCUUUGAUGAGCUCAUGUCCUAUCAGCUUGUUGGUAGGGUAACGGCCUACCAAGGCUUUGACGGGUAGCUGGUCUGAGAGGACGAUCAGCCACACUGGCACUGCGACACGGGGCCAGACUCCUACGGGAGGCAGCAGUAAGGAAUAUUGCGCAAUGGGCGAAAGCCUGACGCAGCGACGCCGCGUGGGGGGAUGAAGGUCUUCGGAUUGUAAACCCCUUUCGGGAGGGAAGGAUGGAGCGAGCAAUCGUUCGGACGGGUACCUCCAGAAGCAGCCACGGCCAACUCGUGCCAGCA